UAAUACUCCAUAGAUUAGAGACACUGGAAUGUUCUUUAGUCGAAAGUUCUGGCGCCUUAGGAUGGAUCUGCGGUCGAUUAGGUUGUUGUUGGGGUAACGGCCCAACAAGCCUGUAAUCGAUACGGGUUGUGGGAGCAAGAGCCCGGAGAUGGAAUCUGAGACACGAUUCCAGGCCCUACGGGGCGCAGCAGGCGCGAAAACUUUACAAUGCAGGAAACUGUGAUAAGGGAACUCCGAGUGCCCGUAUACGCGGGCUGUCCAGGUGUUUAAAAAUCAUCUGAAGAAAGGGCCGGGCAAGACCGGUGCCAGCCGCCGCGGUAAUACCGGCGGCUCGAGUGGUGGCCACUAUUAUUGGGCUUAAAGCGUCCGUAGCUGGACCGAUAAGUCUCUUGGGAAAUCCGCCGGCUCAACCGGCGGGCGUCUAAGGGAUACUGUUAGUCUAGGGACCGGGAGAGGUGAGAGGUACUCCGGGGGUAGGAGUGAAAUCCUGUAAUCCCCGGGGGACCACCGAUGGCGAAGGCAUCUCACCAGAACGGCUCCGACGGUGAGGGACGAAAGCUGGGGGAGCGAACCGGAUUAGAUACCCGGGUAGUCCCAGCCGUAAACUAUGCGCGUUAGGUGUAC
RNAcentral lists this ribosomal RNA (624 nucleotides) under uncultured archaeon. Its description in RNAcentral is "bacterial SSU rRNA". It matches the Rfam family "Archaeal small subunit ribosomal RNA", at positions 147 to 776 of the family's 1478-position model. The record is from RNAcentral.